Molecule: small nuclear RNA, 307 nt
Filed under: Castor canadensis (American beaver)
Lineage: Eukaryota; Metazoa; Chordata; Mammalia; Rodentia; Castoridae
Description: 7SK RNA (ENSCCNG00000003889.1)
Rfam family: 7SK RNA
About the family: 7SK was discovered as an abundant small nuclear RNA in the mid-70s but a possible function has only recently been suggested.
Source: Rfam by way of RNAcentral
AUAUGUGAGGACAGUCUGGUUAGGACAUCUGUCACCCCAUUGAUCACCAGAGUCUAUUUGGUUGAUCUGGCUGGCUAGGCAGGUGUCCCCUUCUUCCUUCACUGCUCCACGUGUGUUCCCCCCAAAGUUGUGAGCUCAGUGGAAGAGGAUGACCAUCCCUGAUAGAGGAGGACUAUUUUUCAGUUAAGGGUAUAGGAAUAGCUGUGCUCCCCUGCUAGAGCAUCCAAAUAAGCUCUCAAGUAUAGAAGAUGUAUAAGUUACCAGCUGUCUACUGGUUCCUGUAUAAGCAAUGCUAAGGGAUCUGAGU